RNAcentral lists this ribosomal RNA (33 nucleotides) under Eugenia myrcianthes. RNAcentral's name for it is "partial 28S ribosomal RNA". The record is from RNAcentral. Lineage: Eukaryota; Viridiplantae; Streptophyta; Magnoliopsida; Myrtales; Myrtaceae.
ACGCGACCCCAGGUCAAGCGGGGCUACCGCACU